GGGUGGGAAGAAAGACCAGGUUAGGACGACAAAGCACCGCGACCAGCACUCUUGCGCAUAUAAGCCAGCAGGGCGCGGGAAUUGCUUCGUUGGCAAACAAAAAGGAACUACGUAGCGUAUCUUCGAAAUGAGAGAGCAGAAACAAUGUACUAGACCUUACACAGUCAAUGCUGCUGCCACACGGCGGCAGUCCAUUCUCAUUCAUGUCUGCUGGUGCUAUUCGAGUCGCGGCUGCUCCUGUUUUGUUAAGUGGAGAACUAUCUCGUCCGCCCCACCGUCGCCGGUGGAUUGUGGCGGGCACUGGCGACAGUGUCGGCCUCCAAGCGGACCCUACUGGAAGAAAAUGCCUGAAAGAGGUUUGUGUUGGUACAAUAUGUACGAACGCUUGACGUAACCGUCAAAUGGCCUGCUCUCACUUUUAUCGAAACCGUUCCUGCCCUUGAUGCAGCUGUAUGAUGCAGUUUAAAGUCAUCACUCGUUAGCUGUUCCCGUCUCGGCUUCGGAGGCCAGUCGAAAAGAAAUGGGUCAAAAAAACGAGGCAAGGAAGAAUAUAACUAUAGAACGAUUGUAAGAGUUCCAAUUCGACUAAUCUCAUUAUGAGGCGUUCUCAUAACUUGAAGAGAACGGAUGUCAAGUCCAAGCAUUGUCAUAUAGAACUAAGCGCGAAUGACCAGCCAUUCGCACAGUGCGUAAUUUGUGCGCAACGGAACGUGGUUUGAUUUGGUGUAUUUGAUUUGGAACUUUUAUUUAAAUUCUAAAAAUAUGAAUCGAUCAAUCGUAACAAACGUUCGGAUGGUUAUUUUGUGUCAGUCAAUCAUCGAACACAUGGCCAGGAGUGCUCGAGCUUCUGUUCCAGUAAGGAGCGAUGUCAACUUGAAGGGAACGACCAUUUAGUGAAGGCGAGUAGUUUUCAAGAGGCCAGAGGAAUAGUACGUGUAACAGGUGCGGUUGGCUUUCGGUCUGUUUGAGAAGAAAUUGCUUCCGAAUAGAUAACAACUGGACUGCAUCUUCAUAACUCAAGCAAUACAAUGUAAAAAAUAUACACCUGGCUCAAGUUGAUCCUAGUGAAAUUUAUCAAUCCGAAUAGCGGCAAACUUUAAACUAACAUUACUCUCAAUAAGGUUGAUGGUCUUAAUAAGUUUGCAGGUAUUUAUUUCCAAGGUUCUUUCAAAGGCAACAAUGUUUCCUGUAAAGCGCCUCAUACUUAGAGCAGGUUGAAACGAAUUAGAUACAAUAUCUCUGUAUCCACACAACUUUUUGACGAAGCAAGGCUACUUGCAAUUUCUGUUAAAACAAACAGAAAGUACAGCUGCACACUUUUAGGUAUACUUCCCUGAUUACCAAUGUCAAAGUUUUCCUACACGUAGAAUAUAGUUGACAUAUCGGCAAUUAGAUUUUGUAUGGUUACGCGAAAAGGCCACGGAGGUACGUAGGGUCGAUAAAAUAUAGCUUGCCGUGCUGACUACUAGACAUCCAGCAAUUAUAGAGGCAACAUAGAAAUACGUUAUAUUCGGCGCAUGACGCCGAAACAGGUUCAGUCGAGGCAUUUCUUUAAAGCAUGCCCACGGAGCACAGACUACGAGGUCGUUCCAUCCGUUGGAAAAGCGUUGGGCAACAAGUUGGAAUUCAUGUAGAAUCACCGUUUUCGGUACGGAACGAUGACUCGAUUCGUCUGUGACAUAAAACACUUUGAAAAGGUCACCACAGAAAGGUCACACCAUUUAUGCGCUGCACAUGGAGGCGUGGAAGUUCACAUGCGUCAUCUUAUCACUAUUUCAUUAUUCGGUGCAAUGAUAUGCUUUUCAUGAAAUUUUAUCUUACUAUAGAUUGCACAGGCAAAAUGAGCGUGCACUAUUAAAGCGGUGUAUUUACAUCCCUGCACGUUGCACGUGUACCUUAUACUAGAAAAACGUCCGGUAGCUUAGGUUAAACUAGCUGAUAUUUGCAUUUUACCCCCGAAAGUAAAAUAGUCAACGUGGAUCAACAUUCGCUAUGAAUGAUAUUGUCAGUGGCGUUGUCCCGAACAUGUUUCCAGUGUACGUAGUACGUCGAGUACUAUUACCAGGCUAAAUAAGCAGAAGUUCGCACUCGCAUAUUUGUUCGGUUAUUCCCUUCGUUCCACGCUGUCCAGAAUAUCCACACACAGAUGAACUCUUAUCUCAGCCUUCCUUUAAUACCGAUCAUGAUAAGCUAGCUGUCAGAUAGCAAAUGCUUAUAUGACACAGUGCCCCAGCGACACCCGCCCCGAAGCCUUUCCCCACCUCCCGCGAUCGUGCCAGCCCCAAUUACAAUAAUAAUCAGUGUAACAAUGUCUGCACGGCAUGAAAUAACAAUACAGUUGAGAGAUAGUUGAACUGCGCCCUUGUCGUACGGAACAAUGUAACGUCAAGUGCAUUGUAGACAGCACCCCCACAAUUAGGUGAGCACAAGGUAAAUGACAGAAGGCUAUGGGAGCAGACGUUCGUGCGCUGUGGGAACGAACGCCUAUUAACGUAGGCAGCAUCUAUACGACGGUAGUCUAUCUAGAAUACUAGAACGACGACAUUGUGGUCAGUGACGAAUAGCAGCCAGUAGAGCUCGGUCCACAAUGUUUACAUGUUGGUCGACUACAUACAAAUAUACACACAGCCCUGACGCAGAAAGGAUUCGAUGAAGGCAGACAGGCAUGCAUAAAAGGAAAAUUUGGGUAGCACAAUUUCGCAGUUCGGUUACGUAAAGCUAGAUUAGGAUAGAGCAAGUCUCUGUGAUAGUUUAGUAGGUAACGUAUUUGCCUAAUAACUCCUGGGACACGUUGUGAUCUAGGUUCGAACCUAGAAACCUAGAUGUUUCUGUCUGAGCUAAUGUGGUUCACACAAAAACUUGCGCAUAACAACAGUGCGUGAAUCAAGGAAUACAGGUUCAAAAAGCUGGAAUGCGUCAAAACAAUCGUUGUUCCACUCCUCGACCACACAAUUUAGCAAAAGAUGCCUUAUCGUGCUAUAACGUUUUAAUUCCCAUUGUUCAGGUCGAAAACGGAUUUAAGUUGUAUGUGAUAGCAGCUGACUUUGAAGGCAUACACCAUCUAAUGUGUCUCGUGGUUCAACCAAGCUAUUCAAAGCAACAUGCUGAAUCCUAGAUGAAAUCGACAGUAUUAGCUGGCACCCAUUUUAGUGAGGCGCUAGAAUUCACAAUCGGUGACGACGAGGCCGUUGCAUGAACUGCGGAUGGCUUGGCCUUAGGCUUCCGCCUCGGUGCCUGUGAUGACGGUGAUCGGUGUGAUGACUACUGAGAAAUAAAUGCAAACGUCUACUGGGAAUGUAUGCACCCAUCUGUGGCAACUUCUCCCGAUUUCCAUAACUGCCGCCUCUGAGGUUCACCGUGAGGGGUCAUUUGCAUGCAUAGGAGACCUGGCGCCUGCCCUAGUAACUGAAAGGUGGAUGGACAAACGGCGCCCGGGCUUUGUUCUCCAGUUAGGCAGCUUGACGUAUUUUCUUAGCUACCCCCUCGAAAAAUGAUUGAGACAAAGGCUACAUUAGUUGAAGGGCCUUUAACUACAAAGGUUCAGCUCGUCCUCAUUCGUUCUGUUGCUGCUAAUCGAAACGCAGGAUCUUUAUAGGGUGGGACAAUAGGGGCAAUAUAGUUAGAGCCGUAACACUCACCAAUGAAGUUAUAAAUUUAAAAAUAGCUUUUCUUCGGAUGAUACCUCCUAGCUUUUCAUUUUGUUAUGUAGCGCCUAGUAACAUGAAUAUUUUUGUUUAGAUCUCCGAACAAUACGAAAAAUAAAUAAAAGAAACUUCUUUCCCUAAGCUUGUCCUAGCUCCGUGUCACCAAUCGUAUUGAGCUAAAACCUGAUCGAGUUAAUUAGCUAAAGGUAGAAGCAUCUGUAAUUGGACACACAUUUGGAACAACUUUCAUUACAAAAACCUAAUGAGAUACAUAAUGCUAGCCUAUAAAGGUGCUAGAUAAAGUCAAUCUAGACGCCUGAGAGUGGUAGACGAAAAUUAAGUCAAAUCUACGUACAUAUAUAAGAUAAGAAUCAACGUAUGUCCUGAUAUUGACUAAGCCUGAGUCCCAUAUGAUAUUACAUAAUUAGCGUACAAAAGUAAUCAUCAGUAAAAAAAAAAAACAUGGAUUAUAAAUCUAGUUUUUCCGUCCUAAUUCAGCUCGACUUCUCACACUAUCGAUGCCACGGAACCGCCUGCCGCUAUAAAAUAGUUCUCUUUACGUUUUUUUGCAACAAUAAAAAAUACGUAUCGUAAAAUUGUAGGGUUUGGGGUGUUGGCCCGCUUUUCCUCUCACCAAGUUUUCCCUUCCAACCUCCAAUGUUUGCGUAUCUAAAUUUAACUCAGAUCUUAUGUUAUCUCUGGCUAAAUAUCCUUUAUAUAUUCUUAAGGGGAUCCAAGAGCUAUUAUUUUUAAGUGGCGGUCUUGAUGAGAUACGCGCCUUAUUACAGGCAACGUACCUACUGCUUGUGCAGGAAGAGCGUUUUUAUGGAAUUAGAUGGAUAAGCGAGAACGCAAAAUGCAUAACCUUAUACAUUUAUAAAUGUGGGCGUUUGCGUCUAGCCGUCUACAUACGAACAUGUCAGACCGAAAAUUUAAAAAAAAAAGACCAAGAGCCGAAUCACAUCACCGCAGCUUACGUUGCAUAUAUAUAUAUAUAUAGCGAGAGAAACAUAGAUAUCGCAAUCUAAGGUCUCUAUGAUUUUUCGUAGCUUUCAAGAUUGUUCCGGCCCUUUUCCACAGAAAAGUUACUUGUAAAUGAUUCACUAGAUCUUAUCGAUAUUGUCGCAAUGUUACAGUCCAGUCUUGUCCAACCUAGAUUCUUGCUUCUGUCGAAUGACAUAUGUGUAAUAUUCCAUAUAUAUAUAUAUAUACACUUUGUUAGUAUUAUUUACCGAGCGAAAAAGGUCAAUGACAUUAACUAUAAGUAACGGUAUUAUUACAUUUAUUAGAAUAAGCAUCCAUAGUUAUAAAAAUUGGACGUUCGAUUUUUGGAGCUCGUAUGUGCAACCAACAUUUUACUGAGAGUAUGUCUAUAUAUUAUACCUAAGACAAAAAACACAAUACAUCUAUAAUCCUUUUUUUUCAGUUGUAAUAUUAUUUUGUCUAAUGGCGGCCUGCAACCGUGUGCGUGUCCGCCAUUUUGUAUUGGCUAAGAACCUCAUGAUCGCAUUACAAUGACCCGACAUUCAAUAAUCGUACGUUUUCAUACCGCAGUAGCUAGAGCGCUUCUCAAUCGCACGCGGCGUGCAGCUGUUUUUGAAUUGAUGCGCAUCUAAAUACGCUAACGAAAUCUAUUAUUAAGUUGUUCUUCGAAUUGGUCCGGAAAAGUUAAACGAGACAGGCAUGGACUGUAUCGCCUGAUGUUUGCAACGAAUUCAAGUAAUUCCACGAUGAGGACGCUCUGUACAUUCUGAACAAGCCACAGGUUCGUGGCUUGGCAUAUUCAUCGAUGCGGCACGCGUCUGUAUGUAUUCCACAAGCUACAUCCUCCUCCGCCAUGUCUCAGCAUGUAGCUUUUCACGGAAAGCAUCAGCAGAAUUAAGAUCCUGAGGAACAUCUACAUUAUACAGAUACGACUUCGUUCAUUAUAUAACUAUAAAAUAAAAUUUCUAUCCCACUGCCCUUUCAGUGCUCAAUUGGGCAGUCUUUAGCUACACUUAUUGUACUAACGUUUGUACAAAUAAAUUUUUAUUUAAUUUAUUCCUCCGCUUAUGAAAGCUGCUGUUUAUUAUAUGUGGUUGCUCUUGGCACCUCUUGCUAUUCGUAAUUAUGAUCACUAGUGAUUGACAUUGAUUAAAUCAUAAGCGAACAUAAUUAUCGACACCUUCGAGCAUUUAAAAUGUGCCUUAGUUCGUCGUUGGCCCAGGCUAGUCGACGUAAUAGGGUUAGAGCUUUGACUAUCCUGAGGGAUUCGAAUUUAUUCAGGAGAUCUUUAUGCAGAUUACGAGGCAGAUCCACACUCCUCGGCUUUUUCGUUGGCCUAUCGAUAAAGCUUCUCCCCAAAGCCAGGCCUCGGAAGUCACUCUACUCGUGUAAGGGACUGCUUAACGUGAGCAACAGAAGUUUUUCAAAGCGUACUGAUAACGACUACUGGUAUUCAUCGGCGUCCAAUCUCAGCCCCUUCGAAGAGAUAACGUGGCGGACCCGCCGAAAAGUUCAGCUGUUUGCUGUAGCCGUACGAGCGUACUAAACAUGUAUGGUUAUUUAGAUAUUGAGUACUGCGGAUCAGUUAAGUUAAACGAACACAACUUAUUGUUUAAAACUGUUAUAUAACCGUUUGACUAAAGUUAUUUCGAACGGAGAAUAUAUAAACAAACUACGGAAGCUCGAAACGAAUCAUCCUGGACUU
Molecule: long non-coding RNA, 6333 nt
Organism: Varroa destructor (honeybee mite)
Lineage: Eukaryota; Metazoa; Arthropoda; Arachnida; Mesostigmata; Varroidae
Source: RefSeq, a predicted model, not a curated record